ACUCAUCUAAUGGGCUCUGUAAUGAGUGAACUCCUUAGCAUUACUAAUUAGGUUAGGUCCUCACUCCACUCCUAUAUAUAUCCGCCUAUAGAGAAACCUUAGGAUAUCAAGAUCUCUAUGUUCCUAGGGCAGACCUAUCGUAUAGAGGAGACAGGCAUAAGGUGAAGACCUAUCACAUAAGGUGGUACAAUGAUCAUUAAUGACCGUUCAAGGAUUUCAAGAUAUGAUUGAUUAUUAUUAUUAUUCUUCUUUUAGGAUCUAUUGUUGAAUAAUCUUUGUGUUCUAAUCUUCUGCACAAGAUCCAUAAAGUUUUCCAUCAUAUCACACACCCUUCCAAACAUUGGUAGUGCCUUUUCAGUGCAUAAAUGGAUUGUAGGCAAUAGAUGAUGAAGAAGAACUUUUGCCAAGAAAAGUUCUAGCAUUCUUUUCAUCUAGCAUGACUAAGUUAAGGCAGAGAUGAACAUCAAGAUGACUGACUGAAUAUCUUUGAGGAAAUAAGACUUCCUCCAAGUAGUGCAAAGAUGAAUGACAGAUAUCUCGAGCAUGGACACUUCCAGCUUGGAACAAAGGGCCAUCCAAAUAUCAGUAAUAAAAGAUCAAUGAAUGAAGAGAUGGUUCUUAGAUUCAGUUGAAUCAUCACAGAGCACACGCCCACCCAAGGAUCUACCAAGCUUUUAGAGAGAUUUGCAUGAGCAUUUAAUUUGUUUAAGAGGGCAAGCCACAUAAAGCAUUUGAUUUUUGUUGGGCCAGAGAUCUUCCAUGAGGAGGAGCCAAGGCUCCACUUUACCCCCUCUUUAUAAGAAAGCUGUAACAGAAUGUUGUAAAGAAUGAACCGUUGCUGCAAGGUUUCCAAAUUGUAGAGUUUGAAUCCUAGUCCAGCUAAAUGUUAGCUAAGAGAGGCAAUAGAAAACUCAACUCAUCUUGGGUUCUUAGUGAGAGAGUGGUGGGGCA
Molecule: long non-coding RNA, 951 nt
Filed under: Elaeis guineensis (African oil palm)
Lineage: Eukaryota; Viridiplantae; Streptophyta; Magnoliopsida; Arecales; Arecaceae
Description: long non-coding RNA (EGUI_LNC004946)
Source: RNAcentral